This 70-nucleotide transfer RNA is filed under the name Camelus bactrianus (Bactrian camel). It matches the Rfam family "tRNA". From Rfam's summary of the family: Transfer RNA (tRNA) molecules are approximately 80 nucleotides in length. Their secondary structure includes four short double-helical elements and three loops (D, anti-codon, and T loops). The record is from Rfam by way of RNAcentral. RNAcentral also lists the same sequence under 2 other names. Lineage: Eukaryota; Metazoa; Chordata; Mammalia; Artiodactyla; Camelidae.
GGAAAUAGCUCAGUGGUAGAGCAUGUGCUUCACAUGCAUGAGGUCCUGGGUUCAAUCCUUAGUACUGCCA